CGUCAAGUGGUAUGUGUUAAUCCUGUGCAAUACGUGCGACGUGGGCCUCUGAGUCUGUGGCGACGACGACGCCACGCAGAGGAUGAAGACGAGGUUGUUGCCGCACGAAGAGCGCGAAUCGAACCGCCGAAUAAUGCGGUGCUUCCACCGUCGUCCAAUGUACAACGUAUCCCUCUCAUCGAAAUAGAUGAUGAUGAUGAU
Molecule: long non-coding RNA, 201 nt
Organism: Mycetomoellerius zeteki
Lineage: Eukaryota; Metazoa; Arthropoda; Insecta; Hymenoptera; Formicidae
Exons: 3
Source: RefSeq, a predicted model, not a curated record